RNAcentral lists this long non-coding RNA (1244 nucleotides) under Nicotiana benthamiana. Its description in RNAcentral is "long non-coding RNA (NBEN_LNC034694)". Lineage: Eukaryota; Viridiplantae; Streptophyta; Magnoliopsida; Solanales; Solanaceae. The record is from RNAcentral.
AUAGACAUGCCCAUAGCUUUGUUAAAAGCUUAAGAGCCCAGGCCAAAUUUCACCUGAUUCAAGCCCAGAACCAAUCUGGUUCUGAGGUAAUUCCAAGACCCUUAAAAGUUAAUUUUGGAAACUUGAUUCUGAAUAUUCUUCAGAAGACACUAGAACCUUCUAGAAUAAGGGACAAAUGUCCUAAUGCUUAGUAGGAAAAUAGGGAUAAGAUCCAAAAAUAUCCAAAAAUUGAACACUUGUCCAUUUUCUGAGAUAAGGAAGAUACUAGAAAUUGGAAAGCUGUCCAUUUCUGUUAAGAAAAUGCUUUUUUCCUUAUUUUUAGGGAAUUCUGACAGAUUCUUUAGUGCCCGAACAAGUCAUGCAUGGGCUCUUUGUCGAAUGAGUUUGCAUUCCUCAAUCCAAUCUUUAAACUUCCGAUAUCUAGAAUAACUCGCUGAAGCACCUCUCCAUUCACCUUUCGUUCCCAUUUCUUAUCCCUUUUCACUCUCUCACUCUAUAUAAACAUUGACCCUUUUCUUCAUUAGACAUGCAAUUUAUAGAUCUUAACACAUUGAAAUAGCUACACAGAGGUAUACCUGAAUACACCUGAUAUAGAUCGGAAUACUCACACACUAAAAAACACAAAAAAACCCUGAAAAUACACUCAUUUUGCACUGCUUUUGGAGUCUCUUUAUUUCACUUUUAGCAAGAACUCCUACUGGUUUCAUAUUAAUUUCUGGGAUUUCUGGGUUUGAAUCCGAAGCUGUUAUAGUUUCCUGUUUGGAUUUCUUCCUGUUGCUUUUACUCAAGUUUUCAGAAACAUAUUUUCUCUCUUUGCUUUGUUUUCUUGUUACUAUCAAGGUAUUUUCUUAACAAUGUAAAGUUAAUUUUGAUGUAUCAUGAAUAUGAUUUGCUGGUUAUCAAGAAUCUUACUUUGUUUGAAUGUUGCGUGAAUUAUAUUGGUUGAAGUUUUUUGGUUGAGAGUUGUGUAUAAAUUCAUGUGAGUUUAGUUAUUUACACUACUUUAGGAAAUUUCAGUUAUAUCAGCUUUAACGUUUAAAGUGUUGUAAGAAUUACAAAAUCUACUUAAGGAUCAUGUAUUCAUAAGAUCUGCACGUUUGUAUGUAAUAGCGAGAACAAGAAAAGACACUUUUAGAAAACGUGUUAGAGUAGUAAUAGGCAAAUUUUUAUCACUGUCCAUGUUAGUUAGAUGUAAUAAUUUAGCUAUAUUCCUCUUAUACUAUGCUAGUUUAAUUAGCAGUUUU